This 435-nucleotide ribosomal RNA is filed under the name uncultured bacterium. RNAcentral describes it as "partial 16S ribosomal RNA". It matches the Rfam family "Bacterial small subunit ribosomal RNA", at positions 29 to 507 of the family's 1533-position model. The record is from RNAcentral.
AGCGAACGCUGGCGGCAGGCUUAACACAUGCAAGUCGAGCGGGCAUCUUCGGAUGUCAGCGGCAGACGGGUGAGUAACACGUGGGAAUGUACCCUUCGGUUCGGAACAACUCUGGGAAACUGGAGCUAAUACCGGAUACGCCCUUAUGGGGAAAGGUUUACUGCCGAAGGAUCGGCCCGCGUCUGAUUAGCUAGUUGGUGGGGUAACGGCCUACCAAGGCGACGAUCAGUAGCUGGUCUGAGAGGAUGAUCAGCCACACUGGGACUGAGACACGGCCCAGACUCCUACGGGAGGCAGCAGUGGGGAAUAUUGGACAAUGGGCGCAAGCCUGAUCCAGCCAUGCCGCGUGAGUGAUGAAGGCCUUAGGGUUGUAAAGCUCUUUUGUCCGGGACGAUAAUGACGGUACCGGAAGAAUAAGCCCCGGCUAACUUCGUG